GAUGAACGCUGACAGAAUGCUUAACACAUGCAAGUCAACUUGAACUUCGGUUUGGGUGGCGGACGGGUGAGUAACGCGUAAAGAACUUGCCUCACAGCUAGGGACAACAUUUGGAAACGAAUGCUAAUACCUGAUAUUAUGAUUAUAUGGCAUCGUAUAAUUAUGAAAGCUAUCUGCGCUGUGAGAGAGCUUUGCGUCCCAUUAGCUAGUUGGAGAGGUAACAGCUCACCAAGGCGAUGAUGGGUAGCCGGCCUGAGAGGGUGAUCGGCCACAAGGGGACUGGGACACGGCCCUUACUCCUACGGGAGGCAGCAGUGGGGAAUAUGGGACAAUGGACCGAGAGUCUGAUCCAGGAAUUCUAUGUGCACGAUGAAGUUUUUCGGAAUGUAAAGUGCUUUCAGUUGGGAAGAAAAAAAUGACGGCACCAACAGAAGAAGUGACGGCUAAAUACGUG
Molecule: ribosomal RNA, 454 nt
Filed under: uncultured bacterium
Lineage: Bacteria
Description: partial 16S ribosomal RNA
Rfam family: Bacterial small subunit ribosomal RNA
Source: RNAcentral